AGCGGCGGACGGGUGAGUAACGCGUGGGUAACCUGCCUCAUACAGGGGGAUAACAGUUAGAAAUGACUGCUAAUACCGCAUAAGACCACAGCACCGCAUGGUGCGGGGUAAAACUCCGGUGGUAUGAGAUGGACCCGCGUCUGAUUAGCUAGUUGGUAAGGUAACGGCUUACCAAGGCGACGAUCAGUAGCCGACCUGAGAGGGUGACCGGCCACAUUGGGACUGAGACACGGCCCAA
Molecule: ribosomal RNA, 238 nt
Filed under: uncultured bacterium
Lineage: Bacteria
Description: partial 16S ribosomal RNA
Rfam family: Bacterial small subunit ribosomal RNA
Source: RNAcentral